CACGUAGGGUGCGAGCGUUGUCCGGAAUUAUUGGGCGUAAAGAGCUUGUAGGCGGUCUGUCGCGUCUGCUGUGAAAAUCCGGGGCUCAACCCCGGACUUGCAGUGGGUACGGGCAGACUAGAGUGUGGUAGGGGAGACUGGAAUUCCUGGUGUAGCGGUGAAAUGCGCAGAUAUCAGGAGGAACACCGAUGGCGAAGGCAGGUCUCUGGGCCACUACUGACGCUGAGAAGCGAAAGCAUGGGGAGCGAACAGG
Molecule: ribosomal RNA, 253 nt
Filed under: uncultured bacterium
Lineage: Bacteria
Description: partial 16S ribosomal RNA
Rfam family: Bacterial small subunit ribosomal RNA
Source: RNAcentral